RNAcentral lists this unclassified non-coding RNA (145 nucleotides) under uncultured fungus. RNAcentral describes it as "sequence contains ITS1, 5.8S rRNA gene". The record is from RNAcentral. Lineage: Eukaryota; Fungi.
AUGAAUUUUUAGGACGCUCUCUUUAGAGGUCCGACCAAUUUCAUUUUCCACACACCGUGAACACACAUCUUUUUUACACCCAUUUAUAAACUCACAAGUCUAUAAGAAUGUUUAAAAGUCUCUUAAUUGAGCAUAAAAGUUAAUA